GUUCGUUAAACCGGAUAAGUUGUAACACAAACUCGCAAAUUUCGUUUGAUCAGGUUAUUUUCAUAAAAUAUUUCGAUACUUUCAAGUUUCAGUUCAUCGGAGUGAGGUGAUUAGAUGAAGAUGGAUGAAGAUAGCUGUUUCUUCGGCGAUGGCGGCACUCUAGCUACGUUUCACCGGAAGAGUAGAUGUUUACGAACUGAACUUUUGGAUCGGAUAUAUGAAGACGCGCGCUGCAUUUUCCUUGACGGAGACGCACAGCUCUGACACUAGACAAUAUUAUACACUCAAAGGGACCGCGUUUCGCCAGAAGAAUAAAUAAUUACAAAUGGUAUUCGUCAGUGAACAUUUUCAAACUGGGAAUAAUAUAUCAUAAGCAGAUUGAAAUGUGUGAACGUUUCAGUGUUUCGAAG
Metopolophium dirhodum (rose-grain aphid) is the source of this 410-nucleotide long non-coding RNA. RefSeq lists it as uncharacterized. The record is from RefSeq and is a predicted model, not a curated record. The transcript has 3 exons. Lineage: Eukaryota; Metazoa; Arthropoda; Insecta; Hemiptera; Aphididae.